UUCCGUAGGUGAACCUGCGGAGGGAUCAUUGCUGGAACGCGCCCCAGGCGCACCCAGAAACCCUUUGUGAACUUAUACCUUUUGUUGCCUCGGCGCAUGCUGGCCUCUAGUAGGCCCCUCACCCCGGUGAGGAGAAGGCACGCCGGCGGCCAAGUUAACUCUUGUUUUUACACUGAAACUCUGAGAAAAAACACAAAUGAAUCAAAACUUUCAACAACGGAUCUCUUGGUUCUGGCAUCGAUGAAGAACGCAGCGAAAUGCGAUAAGUAAUGUGAAUUGCAGAAUUCAGUGAAUCAUCGAAUCUUUGAACGCACAUUGCGCCCUCUGGUAUUCCGGAGGGCAUGCCUGUUCGAGCGUCAUUUCAACCCUCAAGCAUUGCUUGGUGUUGGGGCACUGCUUCUAACGAAGCAGGCCCUGAAAUCUAGUGGCGAGCUCGCCAGGACCCCGAGCGUAGUAGUUAAACCCUCGCUCUGGAAGGCCCUGGCGGUGCCCUGCCGUUAAACCCCCAACUUUUGAAAAUUUGACCUCGGAUCAGGUAG
RNAcentral lists this ribosomal RNA (539 nucleotides) under fungal sp. SNB-GTC2818. RNAcentral describes it as "LSU rRNA". The stretch from base 206 to 359 matches the Rfam family "5.8S ribosomal RNA". Lineage: Eukaryota; Fungi. The record is from RNAcentral.